AUUGAACGCUGGCGGCAUGCCUUACACAUGCAAGUCGAACGGCAGCACGGGGGCAACCCUGGUGGCGAGUGGCGAACGGGUGAGUAAUGCAUCGGAACGUGUCCUCUUGUGGGGGAUAACCAGUCGAAAGAUUGGCUAAUACCGCAUGAGAUCGCAAGAUGAAAGCGGGGGACCGCAAGGCCUCGCGCGAGAGGAGCGGCCGAUGCCGGAUCAGCUAGUUGGUGGGGUAAAAGCCUACCAAGGCGACAAUCCGUAGCUGGUCUGAGAGGACGACCAGCCACACUGGGACUGAGACACGGCCCAGACUCCUACGGGAGGCAGCAGUGGGAAUUUUGGACAAUGGGCGCAAGCCUGAUCCAGCCAUGCCGCGUGUGUGAAGAAGGCCUUCGGGUUGUAAAGCACUUUCGGACGGAACGAAAUCGCGCGGGCGGACAUCCCGCGUGGAUGACGGUACCGUAAGAAGAAGCACCGGCUAACUACGUGCCAGCCGCCGCGGUAA
Molecule: ribosomal RNA, 499 nt
Filed under: uncultured bacterium
Lineage: Bacteria
Description: partial 16S ribosomal RNA
Rfam family: Bacterial small subunit ribosomal RNA
Source: RNAcentral